CUCACUCCGACUCCCUCCACAAGUCCAACGACAUCCUCGCCUCCUCCGGCGACUACCUCCGCCUCUAGGAGGUCAAAGACUCCUCCGUUGAUCGCCUCGAGCCCAUAUCCGUCCUCAACAACACCAAGACCAGCGAAUUCUGUGCGCCGCUGACUUCAUUCGACUGGAACGAGAUCGAGCCUCGGCGAAUCGGAACCUCCAGCAUCGACACCACCUGUACGAUUUGGGACAUCGAGAAGGGAGUCGUUCGGACGCAGCUGAUCGCUCACGAUAAGGAGGUUUACGACAUUGCGUGGGGCGAAGCUAGGGUUUUCGCCUCCGUCUCCGCCGACGGGUCGGUGAGGAUUUUUGAUCUCCGACUCGUACCCAUCGACUCUGACUCCG
Molecule: long non-coding RNA, 384 nt
Filed under: Rosa chinensis
Lineage: Eukaryota; Viridiplantae; Streptophyta; Magnoliopsida; Rosales; Rosaceae
Description: sRNA RchiOBHm_Chr6g0284391
Source: RNAcentral